AUUGAACGCUGGCGGCAUGCCUUACACAUGCAAGUCGAACGGCAGCGCGGGAGCAAUCCUGGCGGCGAGUGGCGAACGGGUGAGUAAUAUAUCGGAACGUGCCCAGUAGUGGGGGAUAGCCCGGCGAAAGCCGGAUUAAUACCGCAUGAGACCUGAGGGUGAAAGCGGGGGAUCGCAAGACCUCGCGCUAUUGGAGCGGCCGAUAUCAGAUUAGCUAGUUGGUGGGGUAAAGGCCUACCAAGGCAACGAUCUGUAGUUGGUCUGAGAGGACGACCAGCCACACUGGGACUGAGACACGGCCCAGACUCCUACGGGAGGCAGCAGUGGGGAAUAUUGGACAAUGGGGGCAACCCUGAUCCAGCCAUGCCGCGUGAGUGAAGAAGGCCCUCGGGUUGUAAAGCUCUUUUGUCCGGAAAGAAAAGCAAUCGGUUAAUACCCGGUUGUUCUGACGGUACCGGAAGAAUAAGCACCGGCUAACUUCGUGCCAGCAGCCGCGGUAA
RNAcentral lists this ribosomal RNA (500 nucleotides) under uncultured bacterium. RNAcentral's name for it is "bacterial SSU rRNA". It matches the Rfam family "Bacterial small subunit ribosomal RNA", at positions 29 to 523 of the family's 1533-position model. The record is from RNAcentral.